RNAcentral lists this ribosomal RNA (465 nucleotides) under Vreelandella stevensii. RNAcentral's name for it is "partial 16S ribosomal RNA". It matches the Rfam family "Bacterial small subunit ribosomal RNA", at positions 338 to 795 of the family's 1533-position model. Lineage: Bacteria; Pseudomonadati; Pseudomonadota; Gammaproteobacteria; Oceanospirillales; Halomonadaceae. The record is from RNAcentral.
CCUACGGGGGGCUGCAGUGGGGAAUAUUGGACAAUGGGGGCAACCCUGAUCCAGCCAUGCCGCGUGUGUGAAGAAGGCCCUCGGGUUGUAAAGCACUUUCAGUGAGGAAGAACGCCUGGUGGUUAAUACCCAUCAGGAAAGACAUCACUCACAGAAGAAGCACCGGCUAACUCCGUGCCAGCAGCCGCGGUAAUACGGGGGGUGCGAGCGUUAAUCGGAAUUACUGGGCGUAAAGCGCGCGUAGGUGGCUUGAUAAGCCGGUUGUGAAAGCCCCGGGCUCAACCUGGGAACGGCAUCCGGAACUGUCAAGCUAGAGUGCAGGAGAGGAAGGUAGAAUUCCCGGUGUAGCGGUGAAAUGCGUAGAGAUCGGGAGGAAUACCAGUGGCGAAGGCGGCCUUCUGGACUGACACUGACACUGAGGUGCGAAAGCGUGGGUAGCAAACAGGAUUAGAUACCCUAGUAGUC